RNAcentral lists this ribosomal RNA (483 nucleotides) under uncultured bacterium. RNAcentral's name for it is "partial 16S ribosomal RNA". It matches the Rfam family "Bacterial small subunit ribosomal RNA", at positions 29 to 507 of the family's 1533-position model. The record is from RNAcentral.
UUGAACGCUGGCGGCAUGCUUUACACAUGCAAGUCGAACGGCAGCGCGGGCUUUGGCCUGGCGGCGAGUGGCGAACGGGGGAGGAAUACAUCGGAACGUGCCCAGCCGUGGGGGAUAGCUCGGCGAAAGCCGGAUUAAUACCUCAUACGACCUGAGGGCGAAAGCGGGGGAGCUUCGGACCUCGCGCUAUUGGAGCGGCCGAUGGCGGAGUAGCUAGUUGGGGGGGUAAAGGCCUACCAAGGCGACGAUCUGUAGGGUGUCUGAGAGGACGACCAGCCACACUGGGACUGAGACACGGCCCAGACUCCUACGGGAGGCAGCAGUGGGGAAUUUUGGACAAAGGGCGAAAGCCUGAUCCAGCAAUGCCGCGUGUGUGAUGAGGGCCUUCGGGUUGUAAAGCACUUUUGGCGGGAACGAAAAGGACUGUGCCAAUACCACGGUUCGAUGACGGUACCCGCAGAAUAAGCACCGGCUAACUACGUG